RNAcentral lists this ribosomal RNA (1462 nucleotides) under uncultured Bordetella sp. RNAcentral's name for it is "partial 16S-23S ribosomal RNA intergenic spacer". It matches the Rfam family "Bacterial small subunit ribosomal RNA". Lineage: Bacteria; Pseudomonadati; Pseudomonadota; Betaproteobacteria; Burkholderiales; Alcaligenaceae. The record is from RNAcentral.
UUCGAUCAUGGCUCAGAUUGAACGCUGGCAGGAUGCUACAUGCAAGUCGAACGGCAGCACGGACUUCGGUCUGGUGGCGAGUGGCGAACGGGUGAGUAAUGUCGGAACGUGCCUGUAGCGGGGGAUAACUACGCGAAAGCUAAUACCGCAUACGCCCUUCGGGGAAAGCGAGAGGCCUUCGGGCCUCGCACUAUUAGAGCGGCGAUAUCGGAUUAGCUAGUUGGUGGGGUAACGGCUCACCAAGGCGACGAUCGUAGCGCUGGUUUGAGAGGACGACCAGCCACACUGGGACUGAGACACGGCCCAGACUCUACGGGAGGCAGCAGUGGGAAUUUUGGACAAUGGGGGAAACCUGAUCCAGCCAUCCCGCGUGUGCGAUGAAGGCCUUCGGGUUGUAAGCACUUUUGGCAGGAAAGAAACGGCACGGGAUAAUACCCCGUGCAACUGACAGUACCUGCAGAAUAAGCACCGGCUAACUACGUGCCAGCAGCCGCGGUAAUACGUAGGGUGCAAGCGUUAAUCGGAAUUACUGGGCGUAAAGCGUGCGCGAGCGGUUCGGAAAGAAAGAUGUGAAAUCCAGAGCUUAACUUUGGAACUGCAUUUUUAACUACCGAGCUAGAGUGUGUCAGAGGGAGGUGGAAUUCCGCGUGUAGCAGUGAAAUGCGUAGAUAUGCGGAGGAACACCGAUGGCGAAGGCAGCCUCCUGGGAUAACACUGACGCUCAUGCACGAAAGCGUGGGGAGCAAACAGGAUUAGAUAUCCUGGUAGUCCACGCCCUAAACGAUGUCAACUAGCUGUUGGGGCCUUCGGGCCUUGGUAGCGCAGCUAACGUGAAGUUGACCGCCUGGGAGUACGGUCGCAAGAUUAAAACUCAAGGAAUUGACGGGGACCCGCACAAGCGGUGGAUGAUGUGGAUUAAUUCGAUGCAACGCGAAAAACCUUACCUACCCUUGACAUGUCUGGAAUCGAAGAGAUUUGGGAGUGCUCGCAAGAGAACCGGAACACAGGUGCUGCAUAGCUGUCGUCAGCUCGUGUCGUGAGAUGUUGGGUUAAGUCCCGCAACGAGCGCAACCCUUGUCAUUAGUUGCUACGAAAGGGGCACUCUAAUGAGACUGCCGGUGACUCAGCCGGAGGAAGGUGGGAAUGACGUCAAGUCCUCAUGGCCCUUAUGGGUAGGGCUUCACACAUCAUACAAUGGUCAGGACAGAGGGGUCGCCAACCCGCGAGGGGGAGCCAAUCCCAGAAGCGAUCGUAGUCCGGAUCGCAGUCUGCGCUCGACUGCGUGAAGUCGGAAUCGCUAGUAAUCGCGGAUCAGCAUGUCGCGGUGAAUUUGCGUUCCCGGGUCUUGUACACACCGCCCGUCACACCAUGGGAGUGGGUUUUACCAGAAGUAGUUAACCUAACCGUAAGGAGGGCGAUUACCACGGUAGGAUUCAUGACUGGGGGUGAAGUCGUAACAAGG